This 83-nucleotide ribosomal RNA is filed under the name Phyllactinia fraxini. RNAcentral describes it as "partial 28S ribosomal RNA". It matches the Rfam family "Eukaryotic large subunit ribosomal RNA", at positions 1 to 82 of the family's 3401-position model. The record is from RNAcentral. Lineage: Eukaryota; Fungi; Ascomycota; Leotiomycetes; Helotiales; Erysiphaceae. RNAcentral also lists the same sequence under 5 other names.
UUGACCUCGAAUCAGGUAGGGAUACCCGCUGAACUUAAGCAUAUCAAUAAGCGGAGGAAAAGAAACCAACCGGGAUUACCCUA